GAUGAACGCUGGCGGCGUGCCUAAUACAUGCAAGUCGAGCGAGCGGACGAGAAGCUUGCUUUUCUGAUGUUAGCGGCGGACGGGUGAGUAACACGUGGAUAACCUACCUAUAAGACUGGGAUAACUUCGGGAAACCGGAGCUAAUACCGGAUAAUAUUUUGAACCGCAUGGUUCAAAAGUGAAAGACGGUCUUGGUGUCACUUAUAGAUGGAUCCGCGCUGCAUUAGCUAGUUGGUAAGGUAACGGCUUACCAAGGCAACGAUGCAUAGCCGACCUGAGAGGGUGAUCGGCCACACUGGAACUGAGACACGGUCCAGACUCCUACGGGAGGCAGCAGUAGGGAAUCUUCCGCAAUGGGCGAAAGCCUGACGGAGCAACGCCGCGUGAGUGAUGAAGGUCUUCGGAUCGUAAAACUCUGUUAUUAGGGAAGAACAUAUGUGUAAGUAACUGUGCACAUCUUGACGGUACCUAAUCAGAAAGCCACGGCUAACUACGUG
RNAcentral lists this ribosomal RNA (497 nucleotides) under uncultured bacterium. Its description in RNAcentral is "partial 16S ribosomal RNA". It matches the Rfam family "Bacterial small subunit ribosomal RNA", at positions 28 to 507 of the family's 1533-position model. The record is from RNAcentral.